UGGCCAUUUCAGUUUUUGAGUUUAAAAAACUUCUAAAUUUCUAACAAGUUUAAAUGGUUAAAUGCAUAGUUUGUGGAGUUGUGAGAAGUUAUGCAUAACUAUCACCUUUCUAAACAGUACAAAAGUCACAAAACAUAUAUAAUUUGUGGAAAAUUAGGCCAGCUCUCCUUGCAUCUGUUACUUUCUUCAUAGUUGCAUUUCAUGUCUAAUUAGGCAGCUUUGCUGAUUAUCCCCAAUUUGUAAUUAGUACCUGUAUAUGCACUUGUUUUCAGCAAUAAAUUAAGAUAACUUACAAUAUGUAAUUUUACUUUCAUGUAAUGGGAUUUAGUGCAUGAUAGUACCAUUUAGUGUCAUAUACCAUUUUUCUUUUGUGACCUGUUGUAGUAUAGCCAACUACUCCU
RNAcentral lists this long non-coding RNA (401 nucleotides) under Panax ginseng (ginseng). RNAcentral's name for it is "long non-coding RNA (PGIN_LNC010537)". Lineage: Eukaryota; Viridiplantae; Streptophyta; Magnoliopsida; Apiales; Araliaceae. The record is from RNAcentral.